CCGGCUAUACUAGUUAGAAAUUUUCCAACAGUAUAGUCGCACGGAUAUACAAAAUUGCUUUUCUCAUCCAACGAAGUAGUUUUUCAUUCUUAUUUUUUUCGUAAUGGGGCGGGUCAGGGAACUAAUUCUGCAAUGAAGGCUGGUAUGGGCCAAUGGCGGAUUGAAGACCGGCAUAUUCUGAAUAUGGGCACCAAUAUACCGGUCGACUAGUUCUCCAAGCCAGUGGCAGUGGUUGCAGUUGAUUUCCCCCAUUAUCACCUAUUGGACAACCUUUGCCUUUUCUGUGUCUUGGUGUUUCACCAUUUUGGCCAACCAUAGUCUCCAGUACCUCGGCCAUACUUAAUUCCAGUCACCUUAAAUGUAACCGAAAAUACUUGCUCGAACUCAUUCAUUUUGGCCCGCCCUAGUUGACUCCCAUUUAUUUGUCUGCUAUUCUAGAUCUAGUCAUUAUCAAUCACCAUAAUAAAGCUCCACUCUUGUAGUUUCAGUUUCACCUGUGCCUUUGAUUAUUUAGAACAAUUUAGACUUUAAUGAUAUGGUCACGGUUACAGCACAAAAGACAAAUACCAAAAGCGGCCCUCGUGAAGAAGGGUAUGGUCAUUGGUCACCCUCAGUUUCACCUGUGCCUUCUCAUCACUUUCAUUCUCGCCUCCUCAUCACUCUCUGUCGUCUGUGGUGCUCAGGAGCACCACCACCACAACGGCAUUAUCAGCCAUGGAGCUCUCUCCGACACCGAAGCCCUCUACAUCAAGCAGCGCCAGCUUCUCUACUACGGGGACGAGUUCGGCGACCGAGGCGACCUAGUCACGGUCGACCACCAUCUCUGGUUUUUGAGAACCAGAGAAUCAGAAAUGCUUACAUGGCUUUACAAGCUUGGAAGCAAGCCAUUCUCUCCGACCCGCUUAAUCUCACGGGUAAUUGGGUCGGAUCUAAUGUCUGCAACUGUAUUCAAUUUAAUCAACUGUAGGAUUCAUUUACAAGGCGAGUGGAAGGAGUCAUCAAUUUUGAAUUAACAAGUUUCUACUUUAACGUAUAACAACUAUGUUCAUAUUUAUUGGCUGGAUAACUUGUUAUAUUCAGCCAAUUACUUGGAUAACGUAUGCACUUAAGGUGCAAGUGCUUUGACAUUUGUGCCACAUAGAAUUACAUUCCUUUUUAAAUAUUUUAUGAUAUAAUUUUUUUUUUAUUUUUAAAAUUUUGAAAUCAUUUUUUGGUCCAAUGUUACCCCUUAUGACUUGAAUUGGGUAAUAGUCAUUUAUGUCAUAUUGCCUACUACCUAUUGCAUAGGUAUAUAUAUAUAUAUAUAUUUUUUUUUUUUCAUAUUUUCGACAAUGUGUCAUAGUAUUUUAUGUACCUUUUUUUAAUAGGUAACAUAUAAUUUUAUUUUGUCUAUUUUUGUAUCUGACUUAUGGGUAGUCUUCUAAUUUAUGUUCCUAACUUAUAGAUAACACGAUUUAUCACUAAAUAUUUUUCGUUGCUAAUAAUAACACUAUUUACUUGUAUGUCAUGUACAUAAUUUAAUAUGGGUGCUUGUCUGAUCGAUUGGUAUAAUAUGUGGGUCUUUACUUUUUAUUAAUUAAAUCGUAUUUUAUCCAUAUAUUAGGAAUAUUAUCAAAGAAAGAAUUUAAAUUUUAAAUUAUGAAAUUCAAUUACAAGGAAAUAAUGCAUUAAAUUUAGAUUUUCAAUGUGGUUUCCUUAUUUGCCUCAAAGGGUAAAAUUGACACAACAAAAAAAAGUAAUAAAUGUCAAAGGACUUACGUCUAAAACCAAAAACGCGAGCACUAAACCCAAUGAUAGCUAAUCGUUUUGGGCCUAGAUCUAAGAAGCCCUUUUAUUUAUUAUCUAACAUCGUUGCAUGCCAUUGAUAGUGUGCCUAUGGAUGAGGAAGAGAAAGUUGUGCUUGACUGAUGAUUGACGGAAACUUUCGCAAGUAAAUCCUCGAUGCUACUGGUUGAAGGCCCUUUGAUGUUAAAGUUAGCUUAAGGGGAUGAGCGCAAGCUAUCGACAAUGCAAGGGCAUAAGUGUCAAGUAGCAAGUCUUACCCUGUAUCUAGGGUAAGGAGUUAUAUAUAUAGGGAAUUCUGGGUUUUUUUGGGUGCUUAGUUUCGAUGUGGGACUCGUGGGAGUGCCUUCCAAGGCUAACACGCGUCCCAGCAAAUAUCCUAGCGAUGAACUCAAGAACAUCCUGCAAGAUGCCUUCUAAGGCGUAGAAUUUGGCAAGGCAUGCCGAACACACUUACCGGUCGUGGGCCGAUCAGUGAACAAUUGGCGAAUGGAGCUAGAAGCGUCUGCCGUUUGUAGGAUUAGACCUACCAGGAUGGGUUACAGGGCCAUGUUGUGCGUAGAAUCGGUCGUGGGUGCCGAAAAGACCUACCGAUUAGUACUACUGGGCUUGCCAGGGCGGGCCAUGGAGCCUUCCUUCACGUGUCAUGGCAUGAGAUGCGGGUCAGGUAUGAUACAAACAAACUUAAAUUAAUUAAACCCAUCAUGCAAUGCAUUCCCUUUCAAUUUUUUGUGAUAAACUCAUAGAUAAUUGACUAAAUAAACAUCAUCCAAAGUUUCAAUAAAAAUUACCAAGUUUUUUUUACAAUUUCCGUAGUUUUUAUUCAAUUUUUAUCGAUAUCGAUAAUAUCCCGAUAUUUCCAUCAAAAUUUCCGUGUUUUUGAACUAUCGAUAUUUUUAAUACCAUCAAUAUUUUAUACCUUGGCUGUAGGCAUUGAUUAUCAAACUAAUUAUCAGGGGACCAGUUGUUGGAUGACACUUGGGCCAGAUUAGAAGUGCAUUAAAUGUUUCCUUUAGUAAUUCUUGGAAACCUGUGCAAGCUAGAUUGCUUAUAGAGGCGAUCUGUGGUGGAUUUUCCAGUUGUUUUUUAUUUUCUUAUGCUUGAUUUAAUCAAGAAGUGUGAAGGAGUUAUUAUCUAACAUCGUUGCAUGCCAUUGACUAUGGAUGAGGAAGAUAAAGUUGUGCUUGACUGAUGAUUGACGGAAACUUUCGCAAGUAAUCCUCUCUAGCAUUGCUCGUGCCGGAAGUGUAAUUGAGGAGCUGUAUGGGUUUGGUGUUGUGUGAUGAGUAUAUUAAGGCGUAUCAAGGGUAUUUUUGGUAGUUAAAUAGGAUGUACUUAGUUAAUUUUAUAUUUUAAUUUAAAUAUUUGGGUGUACUUAGAUCAUAAGGUGUACUCAGUUAAUUUUAGAAUUCGUUUAACCACACUAUAUUAUUAUUAAUAGUUUUCUAUCAAAACAAACCCUUAAGGUCCUUAACUAUUGGCUUGCAGCCACAUAUAAUUACUGUGGUGACCUUCUCGAAUCAUCAAUUUUUAUUCAUUUAAGUUGUUGAUCAACUGCUGCAGGCAAGUUAUUCUCCUGAACUCGAGUCCCAUCAAGAGCGGGUCAAGGGGGUGAGUAAUUGUCUCAAUUCCACACGUAAACAAACAAAGGCUCACAAAACUCUCCAAAAUAUACGCAUUAAUUCUUUGCUUCUUUUCCCUUUAUAAGAAGAAGAAAGCCGUCUAAUUCAUCAUCACCAACACAAGCAAACUCAACAUCAACAAUGUCGACAAAGUCUAGCAUUACCGUCCUUGCCUUUGCCUUUUGUUUCUUGUCCCUCCUCAGUUUCGCUUACUCCAACACCACCGACGACAAAAUCUCUACCUCACCGGCCUGGUCUACUGUGACAACUGCCAAUUGAAGUCUAUGACCGAGAUGAGUAAGAUGAUAAGAUUUGAAUAUGAGAUUUAUGCAUGCAUGCAUGCACAUUGCCCAUUGAUCAGGUGCACAUCUUUUUAUCUUUUACUUUACUAAUUCUUAAUUAAGAUUCAAUUUAGGACCUAUUUAAAGAGAAGAAAAAUACGAUUUAAAAUAUAUCUUAUAACCUAAUAAUCUCCUAAUCAAAAUAUUAAACUUUUAAAAUGUCACAUAUCAAUUUAGCCCUUAAUUAUACUAAGCUUAAAUUCCAUGGUCCAUACUAGUUUGAUUUUUAUUUUUUAUUUUGGUGUGAAAAUUUGGUAUUUUCUUUAAAAUAAUGUGCUUGAUAGCGUGAAAGUAGCAAAUAAAUAAUGAUGUGUUCAAAUUGGAUUUGAACACACAUCACAACCCAUAUCAUCAUUAAGGCCCUAAAAAUUAAAUCAUUAUGUGCUUGGUUAAUACGUUAAGUAGUUUAUGAAGUGAUUAAGAUCAAAGAGGAUCCAUGACUUGUAAUGGAUCACUUGUUCAUUUACUUAAAAAUAAAUAAAUAAAUAAAUAAAAGCAAAGGACCCACUAGUGUAGUGGUUUGGAGUAUUUACUCCCUUAGGUAAGGUCCUGGGUUCGAGUCCUAGCAUCCGUGUUGUGUGUGUGAGUUUAAUAUGCUAUCGCCCCUUUCAAUAGGAAAGGACCUCAAAAAAAAAAAAAAUAAAUAAAUAAAUAAACUCGCAAUACCGACUCCAUUCGUAAUUCCAUCAAUUACGCGACCAAAACUUCGUCGCUCAAAGUCUUGCGCGACGAAAAACAAUUCGUAGCGCAAAGUCACUUCGCGCGACAAACUUUUGCGCGACGACAAUACAUCGUCGCUCAAAGUCUUGCGCGACCAAAUUUUGCUCGACGAAAAAAAUUCGUCGCGCAAAGUCACUUCGCGAGACAAACUUUUGCGCGACAACAAUACAUCGUCGCUCAAAGUGACUUUGCGCGACGAAACAAUGAACUUCGUCGCGCAAAGUCCUUAUAAAAAUAAAAUAUAUAUAUUUUAAAAUCUUUGCAUGACGUAAUCCAAAUAUUUCGUCGCCUAAACUAAUUUAUUUUUGUUUUUUAUUUUGUAUGCAUAACACUUAAGAAAUUAAACAGUAUAUAUAUUUAUUAAGUAGCUUUAAAUUUAUUAUUUUAGAUCAGAUCGGAUUUUUGUUAGAAAAAUAUAUUAUUGUUGUUCAGAUUGGGUUUUUGUUAGAAAAUAUAUAUUUUAAAUUGACGAUCGAAUUAGUUCAUUGUAUUCAUAUAUGGUCAAGGAGUGUAGCUAUAAAAAGCAUCAAAAUUGGAGUUAAAAUAACCGUUAAAUCGUGAUUUUUCAUUAUAACCGUCGAAAAGUUUUGUCCCAUUACUUGAUCUCUGAAUGUUUAUUUUUUCUGAUUUUUGGCGUAUAUGAUCUCGAAGUAUAAACAAACAAGUUUGACGGUUGGAUCGUUGAAACUAGUUUUGGUGAAUGCAUAUGCCAUCAAAACAAUAUAUUCACUAACAGUUAAGAGUUUAUUUAUACGUUCGUUAAAUAUAACAUAAGAUUUUGUGGUAUCCACUAGUGUAAAUAUUUUAAAUUGAAGAUCAAAUUCAGUCGUUGUAUUCACAUAGGGUCAAGGAGUGUAGCUGUAAAAAAUCAUCAAAAUCGGAGUUAAAAUAACCGUUAAAUCGUGAUUUUUCAUUAUAACCGUCGAAAAGUUUUGUCCCAUUACUUGAUCUCUGAAUGUUUAUUUUUUCCGAUUUUUGGCGUAUAUGAUCUCGAAGUAUAAACAAACAAGUUUGACGAUUGGAUCAUUGAAACUAGUUUUGGUGAAUGCAUAUGCCAUCAAAACAAUAUAUUCACUAACAAUUAAGAGGUUAUUUAUACGUUCGUUAGAUAUAACAUAAGAUUUUGUGGUAUCCACUAGUGUAAAUAUUUUAAAUUGAAGAUCAAAUUCAAUCAUUGUAUUCAUAUAUGGUCAAGGAGUGUAGCUGUAAAAAAAAUCAUCAAAAUCGGAGUUAAAAUAACCGUUAAAUCGUAAUUUUUCAUUUAUAACCAUCGAAAAGUUUUGUCUCGUUACUAGAUCUCUGAAUGUUUGUUUUUUGCGAUUUUUGGGGUAUACGAUCUUGAAGUAUAUACAAAUAAGUCUGACGGUUGGAUCGUUGAAUGGUGUGUGUAUAUAUAUUUAUUUAUUAAGUAGCUUUAAAUUUAUUUAUUUUGUACGUAUAACACUUAAGAAAUUGAAUAGUAUAUAUAUUUAUUAAGCAGCUUUAACCUUAUUUAUAUUUUAAAUUGUAAAAUAAAAUAAUUUUAUUUUUAUUAUUCCUAACAAUUAUUUUUAUAAAUAUUGUGUUACGAACCAAUUUUUCGUCUCUCAAAAGUUUGCGCAACCAACAGUUUGUCGCGCAAAACUCUAAAAAUUUGGACGGGUACCAAAAAUGGGACGCGGGAUUUUUAAAAAAAAUAAAAAAAAUUUAGACUUUGUGCGACCAAUAUUUUUUGUCGCUCAAAACUUUGCGCGACCAAUAUAUAUUUUUCGUCUCUCAAAAAUUUGGGCAGGUACCAAAAAUGGGAAGCGGGAAUUUUUUUAGACUUUGCGCGACUAGUAUGUAUUUUUCGUCGUGCAAAAAUUUAAAAAUUUUGGCAGGUACCAAAAAUGGGACGCGGGGAUUUUUAUUUUUUUAAAUAAUUUUUUUAGACUUUGCGCGACCAAUAUUCCUAUAUUCGUCGCGCAAAAAUUUAAAAAUUUUGGCGGGUACCGAAAAUGGGACGCGGGGAUUUUUAUUUUUUUAAAUAAUUUUUUUAGACUUUGCGCGACCAAUAUUCCUAUAUUCGUCGCGCAAAAAUUUAAAAAUUUUGGCGGGUACCGAAAAUGGGACGCGGGGAUUUUUAUUUUUUUAAAUAAUUUUUUUAGACUUUGCGCGACCAAUAUUCCUAUAUUCGUCGCGCAAAAAAUUAAAAAUUUUGGCUGGUACCAAAAAUGGGACGCGGGGAUUUUUAUUUUUUUAAAUAAUUUUUUUAGACUUUGCGCGACCAAUAUUCCUAUAUUCGUCGCGCAAAAAUUUAAAAAUUUUGGCGGGUACCAAAAAUGGGACGCGGGGAUUUUUAUUUUUUUAAAAUAUUUUUUUUAGACUUUGCGCGACCAAUAUUCCUAUAUUCGUCGCGCAAAAAUUUAAAAAUUUUGGGGGGUACCAAAAAUGGGACGCGGGGAUUUUUAUUUUUUUAAAAUAAUUUUUUUAGACUUUGCGCGACCAAUAUUCCUAUAUUCGUCGCGCAAAAAUUUAAAAAUUUUGGCGGGUACCAAAAAUGGGACGCGGGGAUUUUUAUUUUUUUUAAAUAAUUUUUUUAGACUUUGCGCGACCAAUAUUCUUAUAUUCGUCGCGCAAAACUUUGCGCGACCAAUAUGUUUCGUCGGGCAAAAGUUUGCGCGAUCAAUAUUCCAAUAUUUUUCGUCGCACAAACCUUUGCGCGACCAACAAUAUUUUUCGUCGCGCAAAGUGAUACGGUUUUUAAAACCGAAAUAACUCAUCCACCAUUUUCUCAAUGCCUUUCUCUACUCUUACCUCUCCUUUCUCUUUCCCUCUCCCCAAAUCCCACCAUUUCUCUCACUUACUCCUCUCACUUAAUCUCUCAUCUCUCUCUCACUCACUCUCUCAUCUCUCUCACUCACUCUCUCAUCUCUCUAUCACUAUCUUCUCUAAUUCUCUCACACUCACUUCUCCCUCUCAUUCUCAUUCACUCUCAAUCUUGCCAAAAGGUAUAUUCUCUCCAAAUUUUAAAUUUUUUUCAUUAAUAUGUGUUUUUGGAGUUAAUUUUGAGUUUGUGUGGGUUUUAGGGUUGAGUAAAGGGGAGGGAUUGGAGUUUGGGUUGGAUUUGUGGUAUAACAAUUUUAGGGGAGAUUAUGCCUUCUUUUUUUUUUUUUUUGUGGUUAUUUGACCAUAUUUAUUUUUUUUGUAGGGAAUCAUCGAGACUUUGACGGCUAAAGUUGAGGAUUAGGAAGCUAUCAAAACAUCUCCUCUGCCACUACCACCACAAUACGCUUGUAUUAGGGUUUUAUUAUUGUACUUUGUUAAUUUAUGUGAACAUUUUGAAUAUUAUAUAUAUAUAUAUAUUUAUUGGAUAAUUUAAUCACUAUUUUUCAUAUGUAAUUUUAUUUUGAAUAUGUCAAUUUAAAUUAAAGUAAUUAAAAAAAUCAUACAAUUAAAUUAAAUUUAAAAAGUAAAAAUUAAUAUCAAUUUAAAUUAAAGUAAUUUUAAAAAGAAAUCAUACAAUUAAAUUAAAUUUAAAACGUAAAAAUUUGAAAAAAUUCAUAUAAAUAAAUUCAUAUUAAAGAAAUAAUAAAACAAAAAGUCAAAAAUCUUGCGCGACAAAAUAUUUCGUAGCGCAAACUAUUAAAUUAGUUUAUUUUAAAUUAAAAACAUUUAAAACAAAAAAUAUUUCGUCGCGCAAAACUCAAAAAAUUUGGGCAGGUACCAAAAAUUGGACGUGGGAAUUUUUUAGUUUUUUAAAAUUUUUUUUAGACUUUGCGCGACCAAUGUUUUUCGUCGCGCAAAACUUUGAGCGACCAAUAUAUUUCGUCGCGCAAAUCUUUGCGCGACUAAUGUAUUUCGUCGUGCACAACUUUGCGCUACCAAUAUUUUUCGUCGUGCAAAGUCACUUUGCGCGACCAAUCUUUUUCGUCGCGCAAAGUCGCUUUGUGCGACCAAUAUUUUUUCGUCGCGCAAAGUCACUUUGCGUGACCAAUGAAAAAAUUCGUCGCGCAAAGUCUUUCUUCACGAUCUUUGCGCGACGGAUUCUGCGCGACGAAGUUUCUGUCUCGCUGAAAUUUGUGCGACUACAAUGUAUUUUGCGCGACGAAAUUCUCUUCGUCGCGCAAAGUGUAAAAUGUAGUAGUGGUACCAGUUGUGCUUAUUUACUUUUUACCAUGGCUCUCACAAAUCAAGAGACCUCUGCUUAGCUUUUCUUUUUAUUUUGGCCAUUUGCUCCUCUCAAGCAUCAUCUCACUAAAUUUAUGAUGAGACUGGAUGGCUCAAUUUGGGCCAGUUUUUUUUAUAAGGAUGCUGAGGAGAAGGAGAGGCGAUUCAUGAUAGUCAAGGCCAACUUGGAGUUCAUUAAGGCUUUUAACAAACACAUGAGCCAGAACUACUUCACACUAAGCUUAAAUGAAUUUGCAGACCUAACCAAUGAGGAGUUUCGGGAAAUUCGUAAUGGUUACACGAAACGAUCCUCCAAAUCGAUCAUGUCCAAUUCCACGAAAGCUACAUGUUUUAGAUAUUGAAAUGUCACUGAUGUGCCACCUUCAGUGGAUUGGAGAGAAAAGGGUGCAGUGACACCUAUCAAGGACCCAGGCAAAUGUGGUAAGUAUUAAACAAGUUGUUAAAUGAUGACGCAUUCACUGUUUCACAACCUAACAUGUUAUUGAAUGAUGAGGCAUGUUAUUUCAAUUUUAUAGGGUGUUGUUGGGCAUUCUCAGCAGUGGCAGCUACAAAAGGGGUUAACAUGCAAGCUCAAAGCCAGAAACUUAAUCUCACUAUCAGAGCAAGAGCUUGUGGAUUAUGACACUACAGGUCAAGAUCAUGGCUGUGAAGGUGGUCUAAUGGAUGACGCUUUUCAAUUCAUCCACGCAACAAAGGCUGACAACUGAAGCUAAUCACUUCUACCAGGGUUACAACACUCAGAAGGCUGCAUCCCAAACAGUGUCCAUAAAUGGGUACGAGGAUGUGCCUAAAAACAACCAAAAUGCUAUGUUGCAAGCCGUCGCUAACCAACCAAUUUCUUUUGGAAUUCAGACUAUGAUCUGAAUUAUAACUUGCCUUCUACAAAUACUACUGAAUGAGUAAAGGUUUCAGAGAGAUUUUCAGAAUGAGAGAGAGCUCGAGGAAAGAGCAAAAAGAUGAAUUCUAUUCUUCUUCUCACGCACACACUGUGCACUAAUAACAGUUGGAACAGGAAAUUCCCAAAUUACAUCAUUCAAAUCUAGCCAUCCAUUCUUCUAUUCUAAGAUUACAUCUUAGCUGUCCACUUGGAUUGUAAUCCAAGGGCUCACAUUUAAAUCUGUAAAUUUGAACUAAAUACAACAUCAUAUCAGCAAAAACAGUUAUAUUUCAACACUCCCUUCUAAGUGUUUAGCUGAGAUUACUCCAAGCUUUCUUCUCAGGUAUUCAAACCAAUCUCUUGCUAGAGCCUUAAUAAAGAUGUCUGCAGUCUGCUCUUCAAUUUUGCAACAUAGUAAAUCAAUCUCUCCAUUUUGCAAAGCAUCUCGGAUGAAGUGAAACCUCCUGUUUAUAUGCCUUGUCUUAUGAUGAUGCACAUGAUUCUUGGUUAUGGCAAUAGCAGAGGUAUUAUCACAUAGAAUUGUAGUAGCACCCACAUGUUCUUCACCAAUGUCUGAGAGAAUGAAGCGCAACCAGAUUGCUUGUGCAGUAGCUUCUGCUGCACUAACAUACUCUACUUCUACUGUAGACAGAGCUACACUACUUUGCUUGACUGAAGCCUAGGAAAACAUACCUGAUCCAAGAUUAAAUGCAAAUCCAGAGGUGCUUCUCAUGUCAUCCUCGCUCCCCGACCAAUCACUGUCACAGUAGCCAAUGAGCCUUGCUUCUUUGCCUUUCUCAUAUGCUAUGCCACAAUCAAAUGUGCCUUGAAUGUACCUCAAUACCCUUUUGGCAGUUCCCAUAUGUUUUCUAGUAGGUCCAUGCAUAAAUCUAGCCAAAAGACUUGCUGCAACCAUGAUGUCUGGCCUUGUUGCAGUCAAGUACAACAGAUUUCCAACUAUCUGCCUAUAAACCCCUUCAUCAGCUUGUUCACUUCCAUCUUCCUUGGAUAGCUUUUCAUUCAUUGCAAGAGGAGUAGCCACUGCUUUAUAGUCCUUGAAGCCAAAUUUGUCUAGCAAUGUCUUAGCAUAUUUCUUCUGGUGCAAGAAAAUGUAAGACUCAGUUUGUAUCACUCCUAACCCCAAGAAAUGGUGAAGCAAACCAAGAUCAGUCAUUUCAUACUGCAUCACCAUUUCAGUUUUGAACUCCAUGAUCAAGGCUUUUGAGCUUCCAGUGUAGAUAAUAUCAUCUACAUAUAAAGAAACAAUAAUAAUACUACUUUCUGCAGCCUUUACAUAUACUGUUGCCUCACUAGGACUUCUCUGGAAACUUGCCUUGAUGAAGUAAGAAUUGAUUUCUUCAUACCAAGCUCUUGGAGCUUGUUUAAGUCCAUAUAAUGCCUUCUUGAGUCUAUACACUCUAUCCUCUUUGUUCUUAAUCAUAAAACCAGGAGGUUGAUCCACAUACACCUCUUCAUGCAAUACUCCAUUCAAGAAUGCAGACUUCACAUCUAACUGAAAUAGUUUCCACCCCUUUUGUGCAGGCAAUGCCACCAAUGUUCUAAUGGUAUCCAGCCUAGCAACAGGUGCAAAUGUUUCAUUGAAAUCUAUCCCUGGCUUUUGAGAAUAGCCCUUUGCCACUAGCUGAGCCUUGUCUUUUUGAACUGUACCAUCUAAAUUCAGCUUGGUUUUAUAAAUCCAUUUGACACCAAUUACUGGUUUAUCAGUUAGUCUAUCAACCAACUCCCAAGUUUUGUUCUUCUCUAUAAUUUCUAUCUCAUUCUCCAUUGCUUUCUGCCAUGCUUCAUCCUUAACAGCCUCUUCAAAGGUCUCAGGCUUGAUAAUACACAAGUUACAUCUUGCAUACACUUCUGCAAUACUCUUGUAUUUCAGAGGUGUGUGAUCAACAUCCAGUGAUCCUGAGUCAGGAUCAACAUGCCCCUCUUCUGAAAUCUCUUCUUGACUCAGGCUAGAAUCAUUAGAUUCCUCUUCUCUCUCAGUGAGUGUCUCAUUAAGAGGUAUUGAGAUAUCACAUUCCUUUUGUGCAUUUCAAUCCCAAAUAGAUGCCUCAUUGAAUAUCACAUCCCUGGAAAUAAUCAUUUUUUUCAGAUGCAAUGUUAUAUAGUCUGAAGCCUUUUCACAGUUGCCAUACCCUUCUGCCUUUGUUGAUUUGGAACAUGUGCAUAGCACAAAGAACCAAACACUCUUAAAUGCUUAACUCCUAGCUUUCUACCACUAUAAGCUUCAAAUGGAGUUUUCUUGUCUAAGGCCUUAGUUGGACAUCUAUUCUGGACAUACACUGCAGUGUUUACUGCCUUAGCCCAAAAUUCUAGAGGCAUCUUCUUCUCAAUCAUCAUGCAUUUAGCCAUCUCCAUAAUUGUUCUGUUCUUUUGUUCUGCUAUUCCGUUUUGCUAUGGUGAAUAUGUCACAGUUAGCUGCCUUUCCAUUCCCAUGUCUUCACAAAAUUUGUUGAAUUCAUUGGAAGUAUAUUCGCCCCCCUGUCACAUCUUAUUUUCUUCAAUUUAUAUCCACUUUGCAGCUCAACAGUGGCUUUAAAUUUCUUAAAGACAUUAAGGACUUUUGAUUUGUAUCUCAAGAAAUAGAUCCAACACAUACGAGUACAAUCGUCUAUGAAGGUAAGAAAAUAUCUAUUUCCAGCUUUGGUAAUAGUCUGCAUUGGUCCACAUACAUUUGUGUGUACCAACUCGAGUGGGAUUCUGGCAAUCCAAGUACCAUUCCCUGAUCUUGCAGCAGCUUCAAACUGGUGAAGUUUAAAUGCCCCAUUCUUCUAUGCCAAACUAAAGUUGAUGACUCUACAUUUGCUCUUAAUGCAACCUGUAAAGUUGUGUGAAGCUUCAAAGGAAAACUUAUGUCGCCUUUCAGUUGCACCUUAGCAACUAGAUUUGAUAAAGAACAAUCAUCAUAAAUUUCAACCUUAUUAGCUCCAAAAAUCAGAACAUAUCCAUGCUUCAUCAUUUGCCCUACACUGAGCAAAUUCUUCUUGAGACCAGCAACUAACAGCACUCCUUUGACAUACCUUCUUCCCAUCUUAGUGUCAACAACAAGAUUUAAUUUCCUUUUCCAACAACAUUAACCAAUUGUCCUGUCCCCAUUGCAACUUUUGCAAUUAUAUUCCUAUCAACAUCAACUAAUACAUCUUCUCUCCCAGUCAUAUGGUUGCUAGAUCCGCUAUCCAAAUACCAUAUUGUUCACCCGUUUUGUGUUUGUUCCUGUGAUGGUAGGGCAAAAUUCCCCAUUGCCUUGAAAAUCAUUGACUGGUCAACAAGUCAACUUUCUUUAGUGUGCGAGCGUGCCACUACUAGCAAUGAGAAAUCCUAGAAGACUUUAAAAAUAGAUAACUUGCACCCCAAGUUACUGAUUUCUAAUCAAACAGUUGUGAAUUUGGGUGAGGAAUAUCUCCCAAGUAAGUUCUUUUCUUGCCUCAGACUGGUGAGUACUUCAUAAUUUUUCACAGUAUAAAACUGGUAGUUCUGGCCAGAAUAAAUGAUGAGAAAAUGAACUGUUUUGAGGUAGAAUUGCCUUUUACAAAACUCAAAAGGGAAAAGCCAACUCUAGAAAGACAAAAAGAAGGCUGGACUUCCAUUUCUGCAUGGAUAGAUGCUUCUGAUCCAGGCUGGACUAGACUAUCAGCAACUUCAACUGUCAAGUUUCAGCUGUAAAUCGAUACCAACGUUCGAGUUUGGCAGAGCUUUAAUCUAUUUCAAGCCCUGGAAGGCUUUUUGAACGGACAGAAUUACGGCCUAUUCAGUCUGAAGGGUGCAGAAGUGGCUGGACUCAAGGAUUAUUGAGCUGGAACUGCAUUGUGAUACUUGUUCUACUUGAUCAGGGUUCUCCAUAAAUUUGUUGAGGUUUUCAUUUUUGUGAAAACCCAAGCUCUGCUUGUUUUGGCUUUUGCUGAACCAAAUUUGUAACAAGAGAAAUCUCAUUUUAAAUGACUUUUCUCUAAGUCUGAAAUUGAUUUGUAGUUGGCUUCUUUCUUCUUGAAAUUGAUUUGUAGUUGGCUUCUUUCUUCUGGCUCAAUGAGCUUUUGGUUGCUUCAGUUUGUUUGAAGGUUCUUUGAGAUCAAGUGAUCAUUUUGAGUUUUUGUCUUUUGACUGAUUUUUUGGUUGUUUGAUUGAUUGUCUGAUCUUUUGCUCUGUUCACCCUCUCCUAUAUUUAUAAGAGAUGCUUUGUAGUGGUGCUUCUAAUUCUUUUAAUAAUGGGCGGAAAAAUUUCUCAAAAGAUCUUUCAUUUUUAAAUGCAAAGAAAAAGGGUUUUUAUCAAUUCUGGCAGAUAAGCUUUCUAUAGUCAGUUCCUAAGGCAGUCACUUCCCUGUAUUUCUUGAAAAAGAAACCUAACCCUUCUUCCAAUUUAACUGCUCUUUGUAAGAGUUCAAACUGUGAUGGUUUAGUUUUGAUCUUCCAGAUGAACAACUCCCUGCUUCCCACUUAUCUUUUUAGAAAAUAUGGCCUGCUUAUCCCUUGGAAAUGAUAUCUAACGAAUUUUUUUGGAUAUAGAAAAGGAUUCUGAUCUUUUAGCCCCAAAGUUUCAGGGAAGUCUCUCUGCUAAUGACCUGCUUUCAUUAAUUACCAAUCUACUCUCUUGUGACAGUUGAAAUUGUUGACUUUUUAAAGUCAGGUAUUCACGUGGGCUCUGAGAAUAGACUUUCCAAAAAUCAGCUGAUCUUAUACUCCGUGUUUUGAGAUAAAUGGUGAGUACUUAGAUGCUGGGCCCAAUCCAAUUCUUUUUUAUCUACUUUAGUGGUCAAUUGCCACUUAAUUUGGCCUUCUUUUUUUUUUUUUACAACUUUGCCAUUUCGUAAAAGACGUGGGCCUUUCUUCUUUUUUAAUUAUGCCAAGCCCAGUUUGAGUUGAGCUAUGGGCUGAUUUCUUUCUUUUCUUCCUUUUCGAAGCCCAAGUUUAUUGUCGUGGUUUCGAUAGAUCACGGGCUGGGCUUUUUUGAAUUUUGGGCCCUCGAUUCCUGUUUAUUUUGCAAAGCCCAGACUGCUUGGGCCCUGUGGCUUUAUUCUGGGCUCUAUAGUGUUGGGCUAGGUGCACAGGAUUUUGGCCCCAACACAUACAUCAUCACAUCCUUUUACACUAGCAGAACCUUUAUUACUAGCAUAAAACAUGGUUGGUGUGGAUUCGGUCUGAGUAGCAUAGUUGAGCUGUUGUGCUGGUUUCUUGCUAUAGCAAUCUUUUGCAAUAUGACCAAAUUUGUCACAGUUGUAACAUUUUGGUUUUCCCUUAAACCGAAAAUCACCAAAAUGUAGUUCGCCACAAUGUUUGCAGGGGUUUCUGGCUCCAUCAGUUGAUAUAUUAUCCCACUUUUUGCCUUUUGUCCUCCAAUUCCUUUGAUCCCUAAAACCACUUUGACUUCCACUGUAAUUUUUUGAUUGGGAUUCACACAAAGACUAGCAAAUGCUUUCUCAGUCUUAUCUCCAAAGUGCCUAUCUAGCCAUAAUUCAAAACUCUUCAAAGAGGUUACCACUUCUUGUACCUCAAUUUCAUCCAAAUCCUUAGAAUGCUCAAUAACAGAACAGAUUGAAUCAUAAGCUGAUGGCAAACUGAUUAGUAAUUUUUGAACAAUCCUUGCUCUAGCUAAAUCCUUUCCAUAGCUCCUCAUUUGGUUUAUCAGAUCAAACGGUUUGGUAAGAUAAGCAGAAAGGGACUCAUCAUCUCUGAUUCUUGUAUAUUCAAAUUCUCUACAUAGACCUUGCAAUUUAACACUUCUAACCUGUUUAUCACCAUGGAAUUCCUUCAUCAAGAUAUCCCAAGCUCCCUCAAAGGUUUCUUCAUGAGAGAAUCGAGGGAAGAUCUCAUCAGACGCUGCUCCUUGAAUAAGACCCAGAGCUUUAGCAUUCUUCAUGAGUAGCUCAGUGAGAGUCAUCUUCCAAGCACCACUCGAUUCUUCCUUUUCUUUCUUCUUUGCAUCAGAUUCUCCAGCUCCCUUCGAAUUUGAGCACUCUAUUCCCUUCUCAACCAAUUCCCAAAGCCCAUGAGAUUUGAAAAUGGUUUUCAUUCUUAUGCUCCAAUUUUCGUAGUUAUCACCGCCAAAGAUCGGCACUCUCAGCUCACCACCUCCAUACCCUGCCAUGUUAGACACAAAUCGCGAAACCACUUUUCCAAAUUUCAGCUAGUUUUCUUCACAGAUUUAAUCGCCCAAAGUUAAACAAUAGAACCUGGCUCUGAGGCCAUGUUAGAAUUCAAACUAUGAUCUGAAUUAUAACUUGCAUUCUACAAAUGCUACUGAAUGAGUAAAGGUUUCAGAGAGAUUUUUAGAAUGAGAGAGAGCUUGAGGAAGGAGCAAAAAGAUGAAUUCUAUUCUUCUUCUCUCGCACACACUCUGCACUAAUAACAGCUGGAACAGGAAAUUCCCAAAUUAUAUCAUCCAAAUCUAGCCAUCCAUUCUUCUAUUCUAAGAUUACAUCUUAGCUGUCCACUUGGACUGUAAUCCAAGCGCUCACAUUUAAAUCUGUAAAUUUAAACUAAAUACAACAUCAUAUCAGCUAAAACACUUAUAUUUCAACAUUUCGGUUGCCAUUGACGCAAGUGGCUGUACAUUCCAGUUUUAUUCAAGUGGUGUGUUCACUGUGGUAUAAACUUAGAUCAUGGUGUUACCGCAGUUGGAUACGGGACUAGGACUAGUAGUGAUGGGACUAAAUACUGGCUGGUGAAGAAUUUUUAGGGCACAUGGUUGGGGGAGGAUGGAUAUGUGACGAUGCAAAGGGGCAUUCCUGCCAAGGAAGGACUCUGUGGCAUUGCUAUGGAAGCUUCUUAUCCAACCGCAUGAUUAAUUAAAAUGCAUAUAUGUCAUAAUAUAGUGUGGUGUAUAAAAUAUGUAUAAUUGAAUAAUAUAGAAAGACGCUAGCUAUGAGCUGCUAUCCUUCCACUUUGAAAUCCAUGCCUCAAAACAUAGAAACAAUUAACCCAUGACGUGGAUUUGCUCUUAAAAUCUCACUCAAUGAAUUAGCAGCUAUAGCUAUGAGGUUGACAUGUUUUCAUUACCAUUGCAAGGUUAAAUCAAGUUAGAUUAAGGGUGCAUAUUUUUGCUCACCAUCAUUCUUAAUAUUUGACAUGUGUCUAUGGGUAUAACCAUAUAGUUCUAUAAAUAUAUAACUAUGAUUAUGUCAAUGAACACGUGUCAAGUGUUAAAAUGGGUAGUGAGAGUACACAUUUGGUUAAAGUGGUGAGUAAAUAUAUUCCCUUAGAGUAAUCACAUGAUCAUGUCACUGAUCCUACAAGGUAAAACUGUGAAACGACGUCAUUACACUUGUUCGGAGGUGGCAUGGAUUGGAAACACGUAAUUAACCAUAUAUAUAACAUCAAUUUACAACUUAAUUAUACUUAUUCUUAAAGCCAUUUCUGAUCGGACAUUUUUGGAGAAAUUAAUUUCUCAGGCAAGUAAAUGGCAGCAGAAGAGGACCGGAAAAUUUAGGUGCCAGUAGAAGAGAAAAACUCUCUCGCACGUACCUGGUUUAUGGAAGUUUGCUGUAACAGGAGAGCUAGAUAAAACUUAAUUUGAAAAAUUCUAGGAUACGUAACUAGAGCUUACAAGGUGGUGUUGUUGACUGGCUACAACUUCAAAUACAAACCGUUGAGCUAGCUUGCUGUGCGCAGUAUAUAAAGAUUAUUUAGGACUAGCUAGGCUCAUAAUUAAUAUAUACAUAUAUAUAUAAUUACUUUAUAUUUUUAAAGAGGGGGAAGUACAAUAUUAUGAUGAAGAGAUGAGUCUUUUUGCCAAUUAAAAUGCACCAUUUAUAUAUUCUGUAUCCAGAUUACCUUUUGCAUGAUCUUGCCAUGAACAUCCAAAAAUGCACCAAUCUAGUUAAAAUUCAAAACAAAUUUAAAGAUUUUUACAUCGUAGUUAAAGGAAAUUCAUUGUUCCUAUAACUUGUGCUUCCUAUACACACACAAAUUCCAUGAAUCAAUUGACAAUGUGAUAUUAAUAUUACCAUAUAACAUUUUCAACAUUUUCAUCUCGUCCUAGCAUUCAAGUAAAGAAAAGAAUACACGUAUACUUGGAUUGUUGAUGUCUAACUUUGACUCAACGGAUUAAGAUCGUAAAAACGACACAUUCACAUCAUGACACACACUCAAGUCAGGCUACGUCCAUAAUAUACAAUUAGUGAACUGAAUUACAUGAAUCUACAAGUACGGGAUAUAAAAGCUACAAGCCCUACAUGCUACAAUAUCUGUCCUAUUUUUGGGUCAACUGUUCCUUAUUCUCUUUGAUAGUACAAUCGAGUUUACAUGUUAGGAUCCUAACGGGGAUAUUAAAUGCUGAAAAGGAAAUAAUCAAUUCCCAAUAAGCCCUUAAGAUCGUCUAACCAAGAUACAAGCCUCAUAUAUAUCUUAACAAAUCUUUCUAGUUCUUAAAGGUUAUAGCAUCCAUCUCUCUCUCUCUCUCUCUCUCUCUCUCUCUCUCUCUCUCUCUCUCUCUCUCUCUCUCUCUCUCUAUAUAUAUAUAUAUAUAUAUAUCCUCUCAUAUAAGUCCAAAUUAUCAUGAUAUUUGUCUUUAAAGAAUUAAUUAACAUACUUAUCACCGCGCAGAAAAUUAAUUUAUGUCUUCAAGAUGUCUAUAGAGCAUUAUUAAACUAAUCCUAAAAUAAAUAAAUAUUUUUAUUCUUAGUGCAAUGUGGAAAUAUCUUUAAAGAAUAGAAUAUUUCACCAAUAUAGAAGAGCGGCUAUACUCAACAAAUAUAAAUUUUCAAUAGUCUAGCCGAGUGGCUGUACUCUAUAAAUAUAAAUUUUUUAACAGUACAACCGCAUGGCUAUACUCUUUAAAUAGAAAUUUCAAAAUUAUAGCCGUCCGGCUAUACUAGUUAAAUAGAAUUUUUCCAACAGUAUAGUCGCACGGAUAUACAAAAUCGCUUUUCUCAUUCAACGAAGUAGUUUUUCAUUUUUAUUUUUUCUGUAACGGGGCGGGUCAGGGAACCAGUUCCUUAAUAAAGGCUGGUAUGGGCCAAUGGCGGAUUGAAGACCGACAUAUUCUGAAUAUGGGCACCAAUAUACCGGUCGACUAGUUCUCCUAGCCAGUGGCAGUGGUUGCGGUUGAUUUCCCCCAUGAUCACCUAUUGGACAACCUUUGCCUUUUCUGUUCUUGGUGUUUCACCAUUUUGGCCAACCAUAGUCUCUAGUACCUCGGCCAUACUUAAUUCCAGUCACCUUAAAUGUAACCCAAAAUACUUGGUCGAACUCAUUCAUUUUUGCCCGCCUUAGGUGGCUUUUGGCAGCGCUUAAUUUUUUUUAAAAGCAACUUUAAUACAAAUUUGGCAUGAGUUGGGUGUUUGGUAAACCCAAAAAAACACGCUUAUUUUAAAAACACCCAUCAUAAAAAGCAAAAACUCAACGUCAGGUAUAUGGAGCUUUCAAAAGCUGUUUAAAAAAAGAGCUGGUUUUCUUGUUAAUGAAAGUUUCAUUAUCCCUAUAGUACCCCUAAGUAUUUCACAAAAUGACAACGUUUGACCCUCUCACAAAAUAGAUCUCGCGACCUUCACACUUUCUGACCUCACUCUCAGACUGCUCUUCUCACUAUUCUUCUUCUUCCUCCCCCUGCAUCUCAAAACUCCAUCUCAAUCAAGGACUUUAAUUGCCAACAACAAUCAGCUACUUAUCAGUGAGUUCAUCUUCCCAUUACAUUUAUGAUUUUUGGGUUUAUAUAUGUUAUGAAAUUAGGUUUUUCAUUUGGUUCUAUGCAAUUGGGGGCUUUGUGUUCUUGAGGCUUUAAGGGGAAAAUACGGGAGAGACAGAGAGAGAGUUUUGCUGCAAGUUUUGUACUGGGUUUGUCUCUCCUUGCUCUUUGACAAGGAGAGAUUUCUCCCUAGCUUGGUUCAAUUGGCCUUUGGGUCAGAUACUUCUCUCUCUGUUUCUAUUUCUCUGAAACAUGUCUGUCCUGGAUGCUUUUUUUCUAUAGAUUACACAACCAUCAUUGUUCAUAGAUUUACUCAUUGUAUAGUUUGGUACAGUUCCAAAAUAUCAAGAACAAAACCCGUUAUGCUAAUCUGGUUCUUUAUAUACAUAAAUAUAAAUAUAAAUAAAUAUAUAUAUAUAUAUAUACAGUCCCCUUCUAUUGAGAGAUCUCUCAAAUAAUUUUAUUUGAGGGACGCCCUUAGGGUACCCUACAAUUUUCUUUCCAAUGAUCCAAACCAUCUAUUUUUUAGGUCUUCAUUCAUAAAUCAUCCUUACAAAAAAUUAGAUAAAUCGGAAACCGUUUUGACAUCCAAUUGUAUCUUACAAAAUCAAUGAACACGUUCCUUCAAGAAAGUACUAAAAUUUCAAUAACUCAAAUGAGUGGUCAAAUGAUAUCAUAUUCGAGUAAUUUUUUUGUAGAGAUGAUCUUUGAAUGAAUAUCUACAAAAUAGACUGUUUGGAUUAGUUAAAUACAAUUCGGAGUGGGGCCUAUAAGGAGUGUCCCUCAAAUACUUAUUUGAGGGAUCCCUCAAUGGAAACUCUCUGUAUAUAUAUAUAUAUAUAUAUAUAUAUAUAUAUGAUUGCAACCCAAGUCCCCAAGUCAGGUCCGUGUUGAUUUUUCCAUUGUCCUAACCUUGUUGUCUUCAAGCUCAAACAUAAUUCCUUUGGACUUUAGUUUUAGUUCUCUUUUAGUUAGAAGACAAGAAAAGAGUGAAGAAGCCAUUAGCUCCAGAUCUGGGGCUUCUGUUUUCUCAAGAAUUUUUUUAAAAAAAAAAAAGAUCCUAUUAUGUGAAACUGCUGUUCCAUCUAAGUUGUCAUCCAUUAUUGUGUUAGAAGAUUUUUGGUAAACAAAGCUUUUAUUUUUUAGUGGUCAUAGUUUCAAGUUCUUCCUUAUUAUUAUUUUUCAGUGUCGGUGGACUUUAUUAUUGUGUUAGAAGAUUUUUGAUUGGGUAAUGGUUUGAAGUUCUUCCUUCUAUUUAUAUUUUUUUGUGUUGGUGGGCUUUAUCAAAAGUGAUUGUAGCAUGCUGGUCAUUGUGGUGGGGAACUCAUAAACUGACAUAUGGUUGAAAUAUAAAAAUUUUGUAAAUUGGUAUGAAAUUGCAUUCUCAGUAAAUUAUGGGAAUGCAAUAUCAUCUUGCCUUAGAACAUAUGAUAGAAACAAAACAUUUUAACCACAACACAGACUUAAGAGAUUCAAUAAACUGUUCCCUAGUAAGCUGGAAAUAUUGGCUAAGACUUUAUGUUAUCUUUGUCUCCUCUUGGCAGAAUAGGCUUGCUAGUUCCUCAAGUAAUAUAUGUUAAAGAUUAGGAAAAUUAUAUAGUUCUUGUUCUUAGGUCAAUUGUGAAGGUGAUCAGUUUAUUUUCAUGUGUGGAUUCUUUUCGUUCUUGGUUUUCUUUCAUGAAUCAUUAGGAAUACUCUAUGCUUGGACUCUUUGUCCCUUGUUGAGAAUGAGAAGUGGGUUUAAGGAAGUUUUGUUGGGAGCCAUCAUCAUUUUUAAACAUAUAGCAUAUAGUGGAUAAUAUAGAUGAAUAUUCAUACCUGUGGGAAAAGGAAAGUUUGUUAUUUUUAUGCUUUUAGUAUAAUGUAUAUCUUGGGACAAUUAUUUGCUAUUAUCUAUUUCUCAUACUCAACACAUAUUGCUUUAGUAAGGAUGGGAAAGAAUGUGAGAAGUUCAUCAAAAGCUCCAGCGACAUGGAAUAACCAUAAUAUAUCCAUAUUCUGUGAUUUGUGCAUCAAGGAGAUAUGCCUAAUUAUCCAUUCAACAAGCAAGUGAAGAUAGUCAUUGCUACAAUGACACUUCAUAAUUAUAUAAGGAGGCAUGCCCAACGUGAUAGACAUUUUGAUGCUUCAAAUGAUAUCUUAAGUGAAGAGAUAGGUGAGGAUGUUGAUGUACAACAAGAAGUUCAUAGUCUUAAUGACAAUGGAACACAAGAGAUGGAAGCAUUGAGAAAUAGCAUCGCUACAAGUUUCAUGAAUGCAUCUAAUUAGCUUCUUUUAUAUUGUAGUGAUCCAUUUUGGCAUGUUAAAAUUGAACAAUUUUUGUAUAUUUGUUAUGCUAACCCUCUCCGAAGCCCUCAAAACACAUUGUUAUUAUUAAUAUAACAAUAUUUAGAACUACUUUUGUUACAAUAUUAAUUUAUAAUUUAUGGUAAUAUAUGUGUGCUAAUUGUAGAUUACAAAUUUUGAUAAAUUAAAAAUGUGUAAAUUAAAAAAGAAAACAAAUUUAUGUAGUGAAGUUUGUUUUCUUUUUUUUAAAGUAGAAAAAGAAUGAAGAAAAAAAGAAACCGUUUCAUCAUCAUGUCCUUUUCGUUCAUUAUACAUACUAAAAGCACUUCUGAUAAAAAUUUACCGAACACUUCGACUACUCACAGCCUUUUUUCAUAUACAGUUUACCAAACGCCUAGCUGUUUUUUUUUCAUAGCUGAUUAUUUUCGCAGCACAGCAGAAACAGUUUUUUUUUAAAGCACAACAAUGCCAAACUAGCCCUUAGUUGACUCCCAUUUAUUUUUCUGCUAUUCUAGAUCUAGUCAUUAUCAAUCACCAUAAUAAAGCUCCACUUCUUGUAGUUUCAGUUUCACCUGUGCCUUUGAUUAUUUAGAACAAUUUAGACUUUAAUGAUAUGGUCACGGUUACAGCACAAAAGACAAAUACCAAAAGCGGCCCUCGUGAAGAAGGGUAUGGUCAUUGGUCACCCUCAGUUUCACUUGUGCCUUCUCAUCACCUUCGCUCUCGCCUCCUCAUCACUCUCUGUCGUCUGUGGUGCGCAGGAGCACCACCACCACAACAACAUUAUCAGCCAUGGAGCUCUCUCCGACACCGAAGCCCUCUACAUCAAGCAGCGCCAGCUCCUCUACUACGGGGACGAGUUCGGCGACCGAGACGAGCUAGUCACGGUCGACCCAUCUCUGGUUUUCGAGAACCAGAGAAUCAGAAAUGCUUACAUGGCUUUACAAGCUUGGAAGCAAGCCAUUCUCUCCGACCCGCUUAAUCUCACGGGUAAUUGGGUCGGAUCUAAUGUCUGCAACUGUAUUCAAUUUAAUCAACUGUAGGAUUCAUUUACAAGGCGAGUGGAAGGAGUCAUCAAUUUUGAAUUAACAAGUUUCUACUGUAACGUAUAACAACUAUGUUCAUAUUUAUUGGCUGGAUAAGUUGUUAUAUUCAGC
Molecule: long non-coding RNA, 22565 nt
Filed under: Prunus persica (peach)
Lineage: Eukaryota; Viridiplantae; Streptophyta; Magnoliopsida; Rosales; Rosaceae
Description: long non-coding RNA (PPER_LNC005192)
Source: RNAcentral